UUUUUUUUUUGUUUUUUUUCAAAAAAUGAAAAACAUUGAAAUUUUAAAUUUUAACAUAUCCAACACAAUCAUAACAUAAACAUUCUAACUAGAAUCAAAGACAAUGAAAAUAAACAUUUAAAGUUGAACUAAAAUCAUCAAUCAAGUCUUUCAAAGUCCAAACUAACAACCUCACAACACAAAAUCACACAAAAAUCGUACAAAUGACUUAAAAAAGUAAAAUUGUAUGAUGUUGUUCAAAGAUCAGUUGUUUGCUUGUAACUGCAUGUUGACAACUUGAUUAGUAAAGGUAAUGCGUGGGUGGAUUUAUUUAGUGUGUGUUGGAUUCUUUUCCAUCACAAAUUACCCAAGUAAUCUACCCGAAAUAAAUGUUUAUGGAUUAUGUUACAUGUUAUAUGAGAGUAGAUUUGGAAAAGAAAGCUGGCGCAGAAGUAGACACUGCUAUGGAGAUGGAUGUAGGUACUUCGGGAAGAGGUUUGGUUCCGGAACCUUAUAUGGGGGAGAAAUAAUAGGUUAGGGUUUAGAGUUUUUAUAGGCAUUUUUUUAAUAUUUUGAGCUUAAAGUUUGGCAACACAUUGGGUUAGCACAUUUUAACUUACAAAUUGGGUUUAGAAAAUAAUACCCAAAACAAAUAAUUAAAUAAAAAAAUUAAUUUAAUUAAUUCGGUUCGGUUCGGUUUGAUUCGGUUUCUAAAUCACUAAAACCGAACCAAACCAAAAGAAUUCGGUUCGGUUCGGUUUUUUCAAUUCGGUUCGGUUUUUUCGUUCGGUUCGGUUUUUUCGUUCGGUUCGGUUUUUUCGGUUUCGGUUAGGUUUGGUUUUCGGUUUUCGGUUUUCGGUUUUUUGAACCCACCCCUACUUUUGGCUAAGUGUUCUUCCUUCAUUAUCUUGUUCUUUAUGUACCGCCAUAGUUACUUCCUCUCUAAGAAAGUGGUGUAAAAUCUUCUUAUUGUUUGGAUCAAUGUGCGAAGGGACUUGGACCUUCGAAGGAAAGGUACUACUAGACUAAUAGCCAGUGGGUGAUGUAAAUUAUUUUUAUAAUGAAUAAGAUCCCUCUCGGGCAUAAAUGAAAGACAACAAUGGAGUUUCUUCAGCAUUCAUAGCGGACUUCAGAUAAUUGUAUCAUUACGUUAAAAAGGAAAGAUAGUAAUAAGUUGCUUCUGCAUUUUCCAUAGCGGGCCCUUCCGACAAACUAUUAGCUUAUUGGUCAAGAGUCCUUCAGAUAAUUGUGCCGUUACGUAAAAAGAGAGCAAUGAAUUGCUCACGCAUUUGGCGCAGUCGACGUCUCUGAAAGGCUAUUAUCUUAUUGCUAAGUGUCUCUCAAAUAAUUGUCUUGUUGUUAUUGACCUAUGAGGGCUCUCGGCCACAUAGAUAGCUCAACGUGUCAUCAACGCUCAACCUUGAGAUGUGGAUCGUCCAAGCCGCAUUAGGUUAUAAAAAAAAUAAAAAAAAAUUAAGUGCAACAUAGCUAAAAUAAUGGUUGGUUCCUUUUGACAUGUAUAAUAAAGCAGAAGUGAUUUUCGCACUCUUUUUCUCAUUGUGCACAUCCGUGUUUAGUUUUAACUUCUAGAUUGAAUCUAUCAAAAGAGAAUUAACAGACAGAAACAAAUAGAGGUGCGCUAAGGAUGAAAAUAAGUGUGCAGAGAAAUUUUUUUGAAGUGAAUGUGAACAAAAAAUGAAGUGACUUACUUAAAAAUGAAAAUAAACUUUUUUUUAACACGUAUCAAGAUUGUGAUUUACCUAUAAUGAUAAAAGAAAAACAUCUUGUUACAUGUAAGAGUAAGGUAUUUUCUUCUUAAAUAUAUGUCUACCAAGUACCAACCAACACUAAAUGAGCAAAACAAAGGAAGCUGGAAAACUGGAAAAGCAAGGCAUGCCUUUCAAACCAAAGGUCAGAUCAUAUUCAUUUAGUAGCACUACAAGUGCAGUCUGGCAUUAAAUCCUUGGGAGUAGUAACGAAGGAGAAGGUAAAGACAAUUAAUUCACAUGAAACUAACUGGUGUAAUGGAGCAACGGGUGAAUAUGGUCUUUCUCUUUAACUCACUGUAUCCUGAGUUCAAACUUUCCCGCUCUUUACAGUAUAGCUUAGAAUAAUAUUAUCGUUGGCAAUAAAAUGCAAAAAAAAGAAAAGAAAAAAAGGACUGGAGUAAUGGCAUAGCUUUCCACGUUUCCCUUCAUGCAGUAGAAAUUAAAGACAAACCUGCUGGCCUUGGCCUCUUCUGUGCCUUCCUCAUGUAACCUCCAAUUCUGUGCUAGCUAGCUAGACAUCACCACAGAAGAGCUACCUUUUAUACCCGUUGGGUUUUAUUGCGUUUCUGCAUUUGCUUUUGCUUUGCCUUCUCUCUUCUGAAAAGAAGAAGGGAAAAAUGGUUGGUUUUGGCUGUGGUGGUGAUGAUGAACAGGAUUUUCAAGGAUCUUCACCGACUCCUACCGUCACGCAUAGCAGUGAUAGCGUUGUUGUGGAGGGUGAGGAGGCGGCAGCAGUGGCGGAGGAGGAGGAGGAGGUUGAUCGCGAAACGUGUGAUCUUCAGCUGCCUCAAGACCGAGUUCUGGCUGCGAAGCUCAGACCCCGCCUUCGAUGGACUCCUGAGCUUCAUGCCUGCUUUGUUGAUGCUGUCAAUCAGCUUGGAGGCCUUCAUAGUGAGUACCCUUCUCCUUCUUCCUUGGCUUUGAGAUUUUUCGCAUGUUUUCGGAUUUCGGUUAUCUGAUUUUAUCACGCGUUUCAUCUUGCAGAGGCAACUCCGAAGAAAAUCCAGGAGGCAAUGGGUGUCCAGGGGAUAACUCUUUUCCACUUGAAGAGCCACCUCCAGGUCUGUUUCAUCAAUGCAUGAUUCAUUGAUGGUUGAGGAAAAAUUCUCGAAAAAUAUUCACAUACAAAACCGGUUACAAACUCUUAAUAAAAAAAAUAGAAUUAGAUGAGCAUUAAACUAAGACAUAUGUAAGCAAAUGGCACUUUACGAGACUAGCAGAAAGCAAUCAUGCCUAUGCACCCUAGUGCAAGUUCAACCCCUCCGGAUCCCCUUCCCCUACCAACUAACAAUUUGACCAACAAAUGCUAUCAUUUGUGCAGAAAAAAAAAACACAAUAUGACAUGUAAAUUGACAAAGAAAACCCACAAAUUUCUCCCAAAUAUGGCCUCAAAUUUAUAGUGUUUUAGUGGCAGAUUAGAUUGAAAAGUUUUCACUAGUUUAUUAAAAAAAAAUAAUACAUUAAGGUACUGAAUUAGGAAGGCCUCAUUGCACUUUCGCCCUUGGCCUCAUUGCAUUUUCGCCCUUGGCCUCAUUGCAUGUUCGUCUUACGCUUCAGUUUGCACUGAAACAGUUUUGUUAGUGUUCCUCGUAUGUAAAAGUUUGUAACCAGUUUUGUUUGCGUAUAUUUACCGAAGUUCUAUUGUUAAGUGCUAAUAGUACCAUAUAACUUUUCAAAUUUCACUCAAAGUUAUUGACGUGGUAAUCAUUUUUGCAGAAAUACAGACUUGGAAGGCACGGGGUGAAGGAAUGGAGGGAGGGGACUCAAACCUGUAUGUUCUUUUGCAAAAACUUGCUGCAGUAAAAAUAUACCAGUAACAACGUCCUUUACUAAACAGUUGAUAUAGUGAUGAAAUUAACUUGCGAGUUGUGAAAGAAGUUUCAUGUUUGAGUUGCUACAUUUAGAUUUUCACUGCCACUAAAUAAAAGAGAACUCAGUUUCACAGGACUCGGAAGAAGGCCGAAGCACCAGUAGUACUUCCUCUCCCUCGCCCAAGCUAUCCCGGAAAAAGUAUGAUUUGCACUGCUCCUCAAUCUUCUAUAUGAAUGUACUUGUUAACUUAUUCCAAAAGGUAGUUGUUUUCGCACUCUCAAUUUUAGCUUAUGCAUUUCUGUCGCUUGAUUCUCCUUUGAUUAUCCAAUCCGAAAGGUGGAAACAAGAGGAUGAGUGCGGAAAUAGAAAAUGAGAGUGCGGAAAAUCAUUACCCUCUUCAGAAAUUACCAUUACAAAGGUUGCGUUUUCAAGUGCAUUAUCUUGUAAAUGCUGUGAUGUUUUAUGUUUUGGGUUGUGGCUCCAUGCAUAGGCACUCUUAUAAACUAGUGAAGGAAGCUCUAGAUGAAGAAAGAGAUAGUAUGCAAGUUGAGGCAAGUUUUCGAGUUCGGAAACUAAUUUGGGAACUUUAAGUUGAUAAAUGUAAACCUACUUCUCUAUUCAUGAUACACAACUUUGCAGGUUGGGAGGCGAUUGCAUAUCCGUCAGGAUGCUGAGCGGAGAUUCAUGAAUUUCGCGAUGGAGAAUGCAUGUAAGAAGCUUGCUGAUCAGUUUAUUGGUGCUGCGACAGCCGCAGCCAUACUUAACGGCAUUGCAGGUGUAGGAACUUUGGAACUAUACCCUGCAUAUCAGAUGACAGAGGGAACGGGUAUGCAGCCUAGUCUUGAAGGCCACACGACCUCUCACGGGCAUUCGGAGAAUUCAUCUGUCGAAGAUUUCCAUACUCGUGCCGAAGAUGACGAGAAAACGGAGGAGAGCUUGGACAAUGACCCUGCAGAAGCUUACCUGAUCAACCCGGAUCCAGAUAUGGAGUGAUAUGGCACUCUGGAUGAAGGAACAAAAUCACCCUUGUGUUGUUUCCUUGUGGAGUUUCAUAAGUUAAGAUUUACCCUUUGCCUUUUGGUGUAAAAUUUUGCCAGCCUAUGUUUGCUGAAUUGGCAAGUUUCACUUACCAAUGAACAGUAAAACAGUAAGAAUUUUGAGUAAUUAAACGUCUGUUUGAUAACCAAUUCAGUUUUCGAGAAAACUAAAAACUGAAACAUGUUCAGAUAACCAAUUCAGUUUUUGAGAAAACUAAAAACUGAAACAUGUUCAGGUAAUCGUACUCCUUUUUCAAUUUUCUGAAAACUAAAAAUAAAUGAUUCUCAAACGCUCCUAAGCUUCAGCUUAAACAAAGUUAAACAGUUUAACUGAACUGAAUCCUAUGUAUCGACUUACCAGCAAAAAAAAUCAAGCUUUUGAGAAUUAAAAGAAUUAUCCAAUUUACCUUUCCUUUCAAAUACGAAAUAGAAGAGAAUACAAGGAUUGAAGGUCCACGAAUUACAAUUUCUAACACAAACAAUAUGAUAUAAAGUAAAAGCGCAACACUAGUGAAGCAGUAAAGCAAAAUGGGGAUGAGGGGUAAACGGAGAACUGCCGCUGGUGACGUCGCAAACGAGGACAGCACGCAGAAAACAAAGGUCUUCAUGCACUAUCAUCGGAGAGCCGCAAGAGAUACCGCAACACCAUCAGCUUUCGGAUGCAACCAAGUGUAAAGGCUAAAAUGAUUUAACAAAAGCACUUCUUCCUCCUACAUAUAGCAGCCUCACAUUUCCCAACUGUUUGAAUACAAUGCCAGCCAACACUUUUCUAGUCGAUCUUUACGGAUGAGAAGAGGUAAUGAACAAAGUAGAAAGACAUGAGAAAGCCAAUGGUGCCAGUUGACAACAUGAUUGCAGUUGCCAUGAUCAAUGAAUAACCGAGGUAAAGGAUAGCCGACACAGGCCCGCUCAAACUCUGCAGGUCAAAUACCAGGUAAUUGAUGGAGUACAGGAACACGUAAAGGGAAACUGAACCUGAGGCAAAGAAAGCCUUCCACCACCACCUCCAAUCCUCCACACAAAGAUGCAUGUAUGUGAGAACUACUGAAACUUCAGCACAAACAAUAACCAACAACAUAAGCACUAUAAAAAGGAAACCGAAGACAUAAUAAAAUCUUCCAAGCCAGAUGCUAGAAAGGAUGAAGAAGAGUUCAAUGAAAAGGGUUCCAAACGGAAGUGUCCCAGCACCAAGAACAAGAAGCCAUGAUGGAUAUUUGCGCGCAGGAAUCUCCCUUGGAAUCUGGUUGGUUCUCACGGGAUAUGAAAUUGGCUCAGCUCGUGCGCCUAAGAAUCCUCCGAGAAGGGUGAGAGGAACGGAAAUGCAGAACCAGAGGGAGAUGAGUAUAAAAUACAAAGAAAUGGGAAGAGCACCAGUACUCUUGCUGCCCCAUAGAAUGAAAUUCAGUAUUGUAAGAAUCACAAAGACGAUUCCAGGAAAGAAACAUGCCACAAACCAGGAAACCGAUCUCCACCCUUCAGAAGUUCCCUUUAUGGUUCUCCACAUACGGACAGCAACAUAACCAGCAAUAAUCCCAAGGAAGAGAUAUAGAAUGAUCAUUCCUGUCAGUAGCAUUCCUCGUGAAGCUGGUGACAUGAAACCAAAUGCUGCAAAGAUGAUAGUGACAACUGCCAUCCCAGUAAUCUGAACUCCAUCCCCAACCAUCACGCAAAGAAGCUUUGGAGAAUCUGGUUCUCUGAACACAUCUCCCACAACAAGCUUCCACCCAGAGAGCUCCUCAUUCAUCUGAGCUUGAGAUUCUUUGUCGAGUUCUUCGUAUCUUGUUAAAUCCCUCCUCACCGUCCUUAGGAAUAUGACAAAAACUAUACCAGCUAGGAAAAAGAUCACCAUUAAUGAAUUCAGAAUAGAGAACCAGUGCACACGAGCACCCUCCAUCUUCAGAUAAGCAUCCCACCUUGAUGGCCAUCUUGUAUCACUUUUCACAAACUCAACCUCAUAAGUAAAUGAUACUUUCUCUUGCUGCCUUAUUAUUUGAGCCUUUUCGAGCUCUGCGGGGCAACUUACAGGUUUGAUAUUUUCAUACAUAGCUUUUUUCUUCAUGGCCUCUGGGUCGUAUUUAAUGCUACAAGGGUAAACCUCAAAGCCAACAAUCUCAAACCCAGAUGCCUUCUUCUUAUCAGCUUCCGAAAUGACACCCAUGCCUUCUUCCCCAGUCCCAAUUAUCUGCACACCACUCCCUUCAUACUCGUGAAUCAUAACCCUGAACUUGAGGUGAUUGAUGAUGUAAUCUUCUUUACUGUUAGGUGAUGUGUACCCAACAGGAAACCCAGUCCACUGAAUCUUAACCCCAUUUUGAUAAGCAUAUCUCAUUGCGGGCAAAUUAUCAAGGAUCAUAUUUACCUGAUACAGAUCACGGGUUCUCUGUUUCAGCAGCUUUACGUCGUGCUCGGUCAAAGAAUCUGUGGUACACAGGUAACGAGUCUCAUUCACGUUCAUGUUAAAGCGGUAUGCAGAGUUCUCGAUCUCAUCUCCCAUAAGAAGUUCCCCGAGAUUCUCAGCACUUUUCUUGAUGCCUUCAGGGGGUUUGCAAUAAGGGAGACUGUAGUAGCUGAAGGGCAGCUCAGUCUCUAUAGAAGUCAAGGAGUUAACUUUUGUAGUGAUUUCUUGCCCCUUCGCAUAUGUAUGCAUGUAGCUUCCGGGGAGAUAAAACCCAUUACAGGUGUGCACAAAAACAACCAAAACGAGCAGAGCCCAUUUGAUUGAGAGCAUUCCCGGAUUCAAUAUCGCCAUCAGAACCCAAAAAAACACAACACUCACCACAAGUUGGAGUGAGCAGUGGAUCUAAGCUAAGUCUUACAGAUGCAUUCACCGAUUAAUCUACACAAAUUCAAACAAAAAGAAUAUUAAUAUCAGCCAAAAGAACACAACGACUAUAAGUUUAAGCUAAAAACACAAAAUUAAACCUUUGGGUUAACAAAAUCGAUCAAGUACUUGUUAAUUGUUCAAUUUCUACACUCAAACCGCAUCAGAUCCGCUAAUUAACAGAGCAUAACCAUUCAAAUACUCACUCAAUCAGAUCUAACAACCAGUAAUAUAAUAAAAAACGAAUACCCAGAUCCAAAAAAUUUAAAUUACAAUAAAAAUCAAAUCAUGCGUUACGCAAAUGCAACAGAUCCAUGAAAAAUUUGAGAAAUUGAGAACGAACCGUGACAGAUCUGGAACCGACACGGAUGAGCGGCCGUGGUGCGCGAGAGCGAAGCAGAAUCCCGGCGUCCCCUUUCGCUUAAUAUUAUUCUGCUGACAUUAUCGCGAACAAGCUCAGAGGGGGUGAGGUGAGGGAACUAACUGCUUUGUUAAAAAAAAAUUGGUGCGAUUGGAGAUGGGGAAUUUGUUCUCUACGCACUCAAGUCAUACGGUUAUAUAGGGCCCCAUCCCACUGUUGAAACAAAGUUCGAUUGGACCUUGCAUUGGAUGGGCGGUUUUCAUUUGUUUUUCCUUCCUACAAACUUACAAUGUUACAGAUAAAACUGAUUUUUGAAAAUAUGUACAAAUAAAUCGUAUUUGCCGAGUCUGAUAGCGUGUGUUUGUAACUAAGUAGUACAUUAAAGUGAUUGAUUACAUGAUGAAUGAGUAAAGUUGGUGAGUAAUUUAUUAUCAUGUUGACAUCAAAUUAAGUUCGUUGUAAGCCCUCAAGUUAGUCGAGGGCAUAUGUCGACUGGUAAAUAGUAAAUCACCUUGUGAAAUCACAAAUAGAUCAUAGGACAAUUAGCAUGAAGGAACAUUUUUUGAUAUUUGGAUUUGGUUGCAGAAAUCAAUUGUCGUCACGUCAUUAUUGUGUGGUCGUUAGAUUAUCAAUAUGUCGUCGUUAUUAAAAACUGAUCAUUUCUGUAAUCAAAUGUUAAAAAGUGAUCAUUCUUGCUAAUUGCCCUAGAUCAUAAUUAGAUUUGACAUAUCACUUAAACAACAAAACUUCUCAAUAUGUUAUUUCAAAUUGAAAUUUGAUGUUUGGAUUUUGGAUUUUGACAUAUAUCUCUUUGAAAAUCGCUCUUUGAUAAAAAAAAAUUAAAAAAAAUUAAAAAAAACAAAUAUAAUUAGUUAUUGACAUUUUACCAAAAAUUUAUGCACUGACUAUAAGUAACGACAUUCUCUAUUCAAGAGUAAAACCUUCUAUGCGUAUGAGAAUUAUUUUUUCAGCAAGCUGCAAUUACAUCGAUGAUAUAUACACAAGUGGUUUAGCUACUUUCAACUCUUUAGUAUCUUGUUAACCAUCAUCAAAAUUGUACAUUGUGUACUCACUUUUCAUCUGACUUAAACAACUCAGCAACUAACCGUCUUGUCUUAUACCUAACUAAAGGUUACUUAUCUCGCCCAAGAAAUGGCAACAAUUGAGAUUAAAAUAGUGAACGGAUGUGUAACGCGUGAGAAUCUGCACAGAUAAACUGAUUGUGAUUUGAGAACCUUUCCGUUUGAUCAUUAUUAUGCUUUAUGGUAACGAAACUGCAUUGUUAUCAUCAUUAUUAUGUGUUUUGUUGGUUAGCAAUUUUGUAAGUAAAAUCCUCAUCAAGGUUUGUGGCUGUAAAACUUCAACCUUUAUCAUUAUGGUGGUGAUUAUAUAGCAAUAUUUUCAAUAACGUUGCAAUCACUGUAUUUGGUAGGAAUGUAUAAACAUGGAUCUACUUUUUUCUACAUCCGAAACACAUUUGGAAGUAAAGGUUAGAAACUUAAGCUUCAAGCCAAGAUGUGUCAAAUACAAUCUUUAUGUCCUUUCUAAUACUAUCUUUAGCUAAUUCACGAUACCAACUGUGUUUUUGUCUUGAUCUCGACCAGUUUCAUGAAAAACAAGCUCGCAUUUACCUCAUAAGAAUGAAUUAUAUAAAACGAAUUUACCAUUACAUAACGUCUUUUCCAAUAAUACAAUGUCAUUUUAAAAAAUUGACACAUGUAAUUAAUUUUUAUUAGAACAAGACAUCACGGUGGCGAUGAAUCCGUUCCGCGUAAGUUGUUCUUCAAGCUCAAUUGUAGAUAGCAAGGCUCUUAACCUUGUAGUAGUGGGUUUGUGCUAUCCGGUAGCAGUUUUGGUUACUUUAUAAAUACAAAAUUAUUUGUUAGUAAAUUCGAAUAUGAAUAAGCAACGAAAGUUUGAAUAAACGUUUUAAAUGAAACAAAGUUCUCAAACUUACAACAAAAAAAUAUCUAUUAGUUACAUGCAUUAAAUAUCGUUGUAAAUGAGGAAUUUUUUUUAUGAAACUGUCAUAUGGCGUUACAAGCCGAUUCAUAUUUGUAGCACUUGCUUUAUUUAUUAAUUAUGUUUUGUGAAAGAGAAAUUCCAAGGAAACGUUCUUAAAGUGUGACUUUUUCUGAACUCUUUGCCGCAAUUUAACAUUAAUUCUUGUGCCAAUAAUAUAAAGUAUUAUGCAAAAAAUAUAAGGUGUUAGAGAGUUCAUCGAGAAUCCUAAUUUUGAACAAAUUUCCUUAACAUUUCUCUUUGUAAAAUAUAAUUCAUCGAUUAUCUAUACCAUAACACGUGAAACAACGAACUUAACUAAGAACAAAUGCAUGUAUGCACCAUACGUCAACUAUGAAGUCUAGCAACAUUACUUAGGGUUCUAAUAUAGCUCUUUUAACAUGUCAUUUCUCACAGAGUCACAGACAACCAUAACAAACAACAAACAAAGGCCAAAUUAUAUUAAUUGUACAAACGUUACUUAAUGGAACUUGAGGCUGGUCAAGAUGUUGUUGUGAACUGGGUCAGCCAAAUGAUCCAGAAGGUUCUGGUAAGGCCCCACACCAGUCACAAGACCCUGAAUAAAAUAACCCAAUAUUGCCAGCAUGGCAAGCCUCCCAUUCUUCACUUCCUUGAGCUUUAACUCGUUCAACGACUUUUCAUCUUUCCCAAACCCUAGCGGGUUGAACAAGGGCCCACCAGGGUAAGCCGGGUUCCCGGACCCACCCAAGUACUUCUCAAACCCCAAGAAGUAUUGCUUGCCCAUGGACCCGGGGUUGUACCAGUCCUGGAACCUCCGGUGCUCGGCGAACCCCAUUAGGGCAAGUUCAAAGACAAAGAGCGU
RNAcentral lists this long non-coding RNA (10624 nucleotides) under Malus domestica (apple). RNAcentral describes it as "long non-coding RNA (MDOM_LNC008026)". Lineage: Eukaryota; Viridiplantae; Streptophyta; Magnoliopsida; Rosales; Rosaceae. The record is from RNAcentral.